GAAAGAAUGAGUUUUGAAUUGUGAACCAUCCAGUCUACUUCUGCCUUCAGAAAAUGAAACAUCACAAACUUCAGAAACUUAAGAACUUGUUAGCUUGAACUCCAUCUCUAAGAAGGGGACAUGGGAAAGGACCUUUCCCACCAAGUCUUAAAUUAAUUCUUUAAGCUGUGAACCAGUUAAUCCUGUCUUUAUUAUUGUUGUAGCACAAACUGACUCAAUGGGAUGUCUGGACUGAACCAGAGGCAAGAACCUCUCCUCCCAAGCAGAGAGGAUUCCUGGGAGAAGCUCAUGCUGGAAUGCAGAAGGGAGUGGGCAAACCCAAAACACUGAGGCAUCAAACACACCAGAGGUGGCUUUUUGGUUCACUCCUGCAGAUAGAUUAUGCAGACAUGUUCAGCAUAUGGAGCAGAACAGAUCCCAACUCUGUUCAAUCAAAUGCAAAGUACCUUCAUGUGCUGCUGCUUCAGAGUGUGAACUCCCAGAGAAGGCAACGCAUUGAAGUGUAUUAUGAACUGAGAGCAUGAAAACACCCAGGUAGUCUUGGAAAAAUCAAGUUAAUCGAACUGAAGAAACUAAAAUCUACAAAAACCAGUCUCAGGCAGAACGCAGAGCCAGCAUCAGGUAUCCAGAAGAAUGAGUCAGUAAUAGAGAAACCUACAGCUUGUAACCAAAAUGCCUGGAGCUGUUUGCACUAAGUUAUCCUGAAUAAACUAUGUGUUGUGUAUUUCCUGAAGAGCA
RNAcentral lists this long non-coding RNA (738 nucleotides) under Junco hyemalis (dark-eyed junco). RNAcentral's name for it is "lncRNA (ENSJHYG00000016277.1)". Lineage: Eukaryota; Metazoa; Chordata; Aves; Passeriformes; Passerellidae. The record is from RNAcentral.